This 368-nucleotide transfer-messenger RNA is filed under the name Lactobacillus helveticus DSM 20075 = CGMCC 1.1877. It matches the Rfam family "transfer-messenger RNA". Rfam says of the family: Bacterial tmRNA, also known as 10Sa RNA or SsrA, is named for its dual tRNA and mRNA-like properties. Its role is to liberate the mRNA from a stalled ribosome. The record is from RNAcentral. Lineage: Bacteria; Bacillati; Bacillota; Bacilli; Lactobacillales; Lactobacillaceae.
GGGGAUGUUUUUGGGAUUCGACAGGCGUAGAUUCGCAUUGACUGCGAUUCGUAGGUUACGUCUACGUAAAAACGUUACAGUUAAAUAUAACUGCAAAUAACAAAAAUUCUUACGCAUUAGCUGCUUAAUUUAGCGCAUGCGUUGCUCUUUGUCGGUUUACUCGUGGCUGACACUGAGUAUCAACUUUAGCGAGUUACGUUUAACUAUCUCACCUGAAUAGUUGAAAAGAGUCUUAACAGGUUAGCUAGCUCAUCCUAGCCCUGUUAUAUGGCGUUUUGAGCUAGUGAAGUUCAAGUAAUAUAACUAUGAUCGUAGAGGUCAGUGACGGAAUGCGUCUGGACAGGGGUUCAACUCCCCUCAUCUCCAUC